GACGAACGCUGGCGGCGUGCUUAACACAUGCAAGUCGAACGGAAAGGCCCUGCUUUUGUGGGGUGCUCGAGUGGCGAACGGGUGAGUAACACGUGAGUAACCUGCCCUUGACUUUGGGAUAACUUCAGGAAACUGGGGCUAAUACCGGAUAGGAGCUCCUGCUGCAUGGUGGGGGUUGGAAAGUUUGGGCGGUUGGGGAUGGACUCGCGGCUUAGCAGCUUGUUGGUGGGGUAGUGGCUUACCAAGGCUUUGACGGGUAGCCUGCCUGAGAGGGUGACCGGCCACAUUGGGACUGAGAUACGGCCCAGACUCCUACGGGAGGCAGCAGUGGGGAAUAUUGCACAAUGGGCGGAAGCCUGAUGCAGCAACGCCGCGUGCGGGAUGACGGCCUUCGGGUUGUAGACCGCUUUCGCCUGUGACGAAGCGUGAGUGACGGUAAUGUGUAAAGAAGCACCGGCUAACUACGUG
RNAcentral lists this ribosomal RNA (468 nucleotides) under uncultured bacterium. RNAcentral describes it as "partial 16S ribosomal RNA". It matches the Rfam family "Bacterial small subunit ribosomal RNA", at positions 28 to 507 of the family's 1533-position model. The record is from RNAcentral.